This 876-nucleotide ribosomal RNA is filed under the name Rhododendron phytoplasma w10772. Its description in RNAcentral is "bacterial SSU rRNA". It matches the Rfam family "Bacterial small subunit ribosomal RNA", at positions 366 to 1254 of the family's 1533-position model. Lineage: Bacteria; Bacillati; Mycoplasmatota; Mollicutes; Acholeplasmatales; Acholeplasmataceae. The record is from RNAcentral. RNAcentral also lists the same sequence under 1 other name.
CGGCAAUGGAGGAAACUCUGACCGAGCAACGCCGCGUGAACGAUGAAAUAUUUAGGUAUGUAAAGUUCUUUUAUUAAAGAAGAAAAAAUGAUGGAAAAAUCAUUCUGACGGUAUUUAAUGAAUAAGCCCCGGCUAACUAUGUGCCAGCAGCUGCGGUAAUACAUGGGGGGCAAGCGUUAUCCGGAUUUAUUGGGCGUAAAGGGUGUGUAGGCGGUUUAAUAAGUCUAUGGUAUAAGUUCAACGCUUAACGUUGUGAUGCUAUGGAAACUGUUUGACUAGAGUUGGAUAGAGGCAAGUGGAAUUCCAUGUGUAGCGGUAAAAUGCGUAAAUAUAUGGAGGAACACCAGUAGCGAAGGCGGCUUGCUGGGUCUUAACUGACGCUGAGGCACGAAAGCGUGGGGAGCAAACAGGAUUAGAUACCCUGGUAGUCCACGCCGUAAACGAUGAGUACUAAGUGUUGGGUUAAACCAGUGCUGAAGUUAACACAUUAAGUACUCCGCCUGAGUAGUACGUACGCAAGUAUGAAACUUAAAGGAAUUGACGGGACUCCGCACAAGCGGUGGAUCAUGUUGUUUAAUUCGAAGAUACACGAAAAACCUUACCAGGUCUUGACAUACUCUGCAAAGCUAUAGAAAUAUAGUGGAGGUUAUCAGGGAUACAGGUGGUGCAUGGUUGUCGUCAGCUCGUGUCGUGAGAUGUUGGGUUAAGUCCCGCAACGAGCGCAACCCUUAUCGCUAGUUACCAUCAUUCAGUUGGGCACUUUAGUGAGACUGCCAAUGAUAAAUUGGAGGAAGGUGGGGAUUACGUCAAAUCAUCAUGCCCCUUAUGACCUGGGCUACAAACGUGAUACAAUGGCUGUUACAAAGAGUAGCUGAA